Molecule: ribosomal RNA, 420 nt
Filed under: Adenomera hylaedactyla group sp. ABGD cluster 71
Lineage: Eukaryota; Metazoa; Chordata; Amphibia; Anura; Leptodactylidae
Description: partial large subunit ribosomal RNA
Rfam family: Bacterial large subunit ribosomal RNA
Source: RNAcentral
CUUGCCCCAUAUAAGAGGUCUAGCCUGCCCAGUGACAUUGUUCAACGGCCGCGGUAUCCUAACCGUGCGAAGGUAGCGUAAUCACUUGUUCUUUAAAUGAGGACUAGUAUGAAAGGCAUCACGAGAGUUAUACUGUCUCCUUUCUCUAAUCAGUGAAACUAAUCUUCCCGUGAAGAAGCGGGAAUAAGAAUAUAAGACGAGAAGACCCUAUGGAGCUUUAAACAAAUGAUAUAUACCCUUUUAGCUUCAAAUUUCAGAAAAAUCUCUUAUUUUGGUAUAAUAACUAAUAGUUUUUGGUUGGGGUGACCACGGAAUAAAAAACAACUUCCGCAGUGAAAAAUUCUCCCUCACUAAAUUAAGGACUACGGCCCUAAACAUCAAUAAAUUGACAUAAUUGACCCAACAUGUUGAUCAAUGAAC